Molecule: ribosomal RNA, 595 nt
Filed under: uncultured bacterium
Lineage: Bacteria
Description: bacterial SSU rRNA
Rfam family: Bacterial small subunit ribosomal RNA
Source: RNAcentral
ACGAACGCUGGCGGCGUGCUUACUACAUGCAAGUCGAGCGGGGUUACUGCGACAGAUCCCUUCGGGGUGACGUUGCUUUAACCUAGCGGCGGACGGGUGAGUAACGCGUGGGUAACCUACCCUAAAGCUCGGGAUAACAGUGGGAAACCGCUGCUAAUACCGGAUGACUUUAACCUAUGGCAUCAUGGGUUAAAGAAAGAUUUAUCGCUUUAGGAUGGGCCCGCGUCCCAUUAGCUAGUUGGUGAGGUAACGGCUCACCAAGGCGACGAUGGGUAGCCGGCCUGAGAGGGUGUACGGCCACACUGGGACUGAGACACGGCCCAGACUCCUACGGGAGGCAGCAGUAGGGAAUAUUGCGCAAUGGACGGAAGUCUGACGCAGCGACGCCGCGUGAGCGAUGAAGGCCUUCGGGUCGUAAAGCUCUGUCCUUGGGGAAGAAGGUCUUCGGACUUGACGGUACCCAAGAAGAAAGCCCCGGCUAACUACGUGCCAGCAGCCGCGGUAAUACGUAGGGGGCGAGCGUUGUCCGGAAUUACUGGGCGUAAAGGGUGCGUAGGCGGCCCUUUAAGUCAGAUGUGAAAGGCCACGGCUUAAC